GAGUUUGAUCAUGGUUCAGGACGAACGCUGGCGGCGCGCCUAACACAUGCAAGUCGAGCGGAGAUAUUAGUAAUAAUAUCUUAGCGGCGGACGGGUGAGUAACGCGUGGGCAACCUACCUUAAAGAGGGGAAUAACUUAGGGAAACUUAAGAUAAUACCGCAUAACACUAUAGUAGAGCAUUCUACAGUAGUCAAAGGAGUAAUCCGCUUUAAGAUGGGCCCGCGUCUGAUUAGCUAGUUGGUGGGGUAACGGCCUACCAAGGCAGCGAUCAGUAGCCGAACUGAGAGGUUGAUCGGCCACAUUGGGACUGAGACACGGCCCAGACUCCUACGGGAGGCAGCAGUGGGGAAUAUUGCGCAAUGGGGGAAACCCUGACGCAGCGACGCCGCGUGGAGGAAGAAGGUCUUUGGAUUGUAAACUCUUGUCGACAGGGAAGAAAAAAGACGGUACCUGUGGAGGAAGCCCCCGGCUAACUACGUGCCCAGCAGCCCGGGGUAAUACGUAGGGGGCUAGCGUUGUCCGGAAUUACUGGGUGUAAAGGGGCGUGUAGGCGGGAUAUUAAGUCAGAUGUGAAAGGCCCGAGGCUCAAUUUCGGGACUGCAUCUGAAACUAAUAUUCUUGAGUGCAG
This 629-nucleotide ribosomal RNA is filed under the name uncultured Acetivibrio sp. Its description in RNAcentral is "bacterial SSU rRNA". It matches the Rfam family "Bacterial small subunit ribosomal RNA", at positions 9 to 651 of the family's 1533-position model. Lineage: Bacteria; Bacillati; Bacillota; Clostridia; Acetivibrionales; Acetivibrionaceae. The record is from RNAcentral.